Molecule: RNA transcript, 5925 nt
Organism: Panicum virgatum (switchgrass)
Lineage: Eukaryota; Viridiplantae; Streptophyta; Magnoliopsida; Poales; Poaceae
Exons: 6
Source: RefSeq, a predicted model, not a curated record
CCGAUGCCGCCUACCUUCCCGCGCCAUUGUAUAUUGUUUGCUCGGCUAGCUUUACCGGCUCUGCUCCCCCACACCACUUGUCUUUCGAUUCCUCCAUCGCCAGAGCACUGCUCCUUCGAUCUGGAUCUGAUGAUGGAGGCGGUAGAGGCCACACUCGUCGAGGGCGCGAUGCUAUGGCUAGCGCAAACCAUCCUUGCAAAUUUCCUGCUCGACAAGCUCGACGCAUGGCUUCGCCAUGUUGGGCUCGCCGACGACAUCGAGAAGCUCAAGUAUGCGGUCGAGGAGGUCGAGGCGUUGGCUGCCUCCGUCAAGGGGAUGGCGGCCGGGAGCAGGCUGCUUGCCCUACGGCUCUCUCGUCUCAAGGAGCUCCUGUAUGAAGCCGACGACUUGGUCGACGAGCUCGACUACUGCAGGCUCCACCAUGAGGUCCAAGGAGGUACAUUUAGCUGUGCUACUCCCCAUGGCACGAAUGGAGCAGAGCAAGUAGAUGGAUCCAGGGACAAUUACAGGCUCCAGCACCAGGUCGAGGGAGGUAUGAUUGCUUGGGAUAAUCAGCACCAAGGCACGGGUGUAAAUGGCGGAGCACAGCUAGUUGAUGGAACGAGGGACAACUCUGGCAUACCGAAUAGAAACGAUCGCAAGAAACGGUCCAAGGCAUGGGAGGAAUUCAGCAUAACAGAAGAAGACGCUGAUGGAAAGCCUGUGAGAGCAGAGUGUAUCCACUGUGGCACACAGGUUAGAUGCGAGACUACCAAAGGGACAUCAGUUUUGCACAAUCAUCUCAAGAGUGAGAACUGCAAGAGAAAACGUGCAUCAAUUGAACAAACGCCAAACCCUUUAAGUGCUGACGAUGGUGCUCAAAAUGGUGCCGCCAUUUCGACUCAUGAUUCAGAUAGAAGAAAAAGAAUGAGAAGUGAUGAGAUCUUAGCACACAACAUUGCAGCUAACACAAUCCUCUGGGACAAGGCAGAAAUUUGCAAUAGAAUCCAACAAACAACUCAUCAGUUGCAAAAGGCUAUCAGUGAGGUUCAAUCAGGUUAUAUUGCAAGUUCAACAAAUCUAUGUCAGAAUACAGUUGCAGAUUCAUGCCGAAGAACGUCAAGUCUCAUGCAACACAAAAUGUAUGGGAGAAUUGAUGAGAAGAACUCCAUCAUAAAGCAUAUGACAGUAGACAACCCUGACAGUGUAAUUGUUCUUCCUAUUGUAGGCAUUGGAGGUAUUGGGAAGACGGCUCUUGCUCAAGUCAUAUACAAUGAUCUAAUUGCGAAAAACGAAUUUGAUAACAGGAUAUGGAUUUGGGUGUCCAGCAACUUGGACGAAGUGAAACUUACAAUGGAGAUGUUAGACUUUGUUGCUCAAGAAAAGUGUGUAGGUACAACCAACUUGUCUAGACUUCAGGAGAUCUUGAUGACUUACGUCACGUCAAAGAGGACUCUACUUAUUAUGGAUGAUGUCUGGGAUGACAUCGAUGAUUUUCAAUGGAAUAAACUGUUGGCUCCUUUGAGGACUGACAAUGCGAAGGGUAAUGUGGUUAUAGUGACUACUAGAAAACUGUCUGUUGCAAAAAGGAUAGGCACAGUCGAACACAUCAAUUUAGGUCCUUUGCAGAAUGAUAAUUUCUGGCUGUUCUUUAAAGCAUGUGCAUUUGGUGAUGAAACUUGCAAAGAGCACCCAAGUCUAACCAUCAUUGGUCAGAAGAUAGCAAACAAUUUACAGGGUAACCCACUAGCAGCACAAACUGCAGGGAUGCUAUUAAGAGAGCAUCUUACAACUGACCAUUGGAGUAACAUUCUAAAGAAUGAAAAAUGGAAAUCCCUGCAACUCAAUGGAGGCAUCAUGCAUGCUUUGAAACUCAGCUAUGAUGAGCUGCCCUACCAUCUGCAACAAUGCUUCUUGUAUUGUUCUAUAUUCCCCAAUAAUCAUCAGUUUCUUAGCAAUGAGCUGGUCUGUAUUUGGAUCUCACAGGGAUUUGUUAAAUGUAGCCAUUCGACUGAAAGAUUGGAGGAGAUAGGACACAACUAUCUUACUGAUUUGCUGAACGCUGGAUUCUUUGAGCAAGUCGAAACUAAAGAUCCAAUUCUAGGCAAUAAAACAUUAUACUUUAUGCCUCCUCUUAUGCAUGACUUUGCCAGGCUCGUUUCAAGAACUGAAUGUGCUGCUAUAGAUGAUCUUGCGUGCAGAGUAGUCCCAAAUGUACGCCAUUUGUCAAUUCUAACUUCUUCUGCAUACCAUGAAGAUCAACAUGGGAACAUACCUCGUAAUGAGAAGUUUGAAGGAAAAUUGCGAAGAGUAGUCGAGUCAACAAAAAAAUUGAGAACAUUGGUCUUGAUUGGGACAUAUGACUACUUCUUAUUCCGAUCUUUAAAAGGCAUAUUCCAGAAGGCGCAAAAUUUACGAAUGCUGCAUAUUUCUGCAUCAUAUGCUGGAUUUGGUCAUUCUUUGUGCAAUUUGAUAAAUAACACUCAUUUUCGAUAUCUAAAACUUAGGACAAAAGAGGACAACCAAGCUUUGCCUGAAGCUCUGACAAAAUCCUAUCAUCUUCAAGUAUUAGAUAUAGACUUGCAUGGAUGUUCUACUGUAUCUAAUGGUAUGAAUAAUCUUAUCAGUCUAAGACAUCUUGUUGCAUCAAAGGCAGUGUACUCUUCAAUCAGGAACAUUGGUAAAAUGACCUCUCUUCUGGAACUACAUGACUUCAAUUGCACCAGCUUGGAGAUAGCACAACUUCAAUCCUUGAGUGAGCUUGCUCAGCUUGGUGUUUCUCAACUUGAAAAUGUUGUAACUAGAGAGGAGGCAUAUGGAGCAAAACUGAGAGAAAAAAGUCACUUAGAAAAGUUGCACUUGUCAUGGAAGUAUACUUUGCCAGACAUUAUGAGCUGUGAGCCUUUGUCAGGGUAUAUACAUGACAUUAUGAGCUCUGAGCCUUCUUUCGAUGCAGUAGAAACACAGACAAGCAAAGAGGUGCUUGAGGGUCUUGAACCACAUCCAAAUCUAAAGCAUCUUCAGAUUUCUGGGUAUCGCAGCGGUACCUCCCCAGAUUGGCUUGUUAGAACUGUCUCAGUCACCUGUUUGCAGACACUUCAUUUAGAGGAUUGUAGAGAAUUGCAGGUACUUCCCUCACUAGAAAGGCUUCCACUCCUUACAAAGCUGAAGUUAAGGAACAUGUGGAAAGUAAGACAAGUAACACUUCCUUCGUUGGAGGAGCUGGUGUUGAUUAAGAUGCCAAAAUUGGAGAGAUGCUCCUGCAAUUCAGUGAGGGACUUGACCUCGAGCUUAAGAGUACUGACGAUUGAGGAAUGCCGUGUGUUGGAGGUAUUUCCUCUUUUUGAGAGCUGUGAAAAACUCAUAAUGGAGCAAAAGUCAUGGUUAUCCAAUCUUAGCGUGCUUACCAUCCAUGAUUGUCCUCAGUUAAUAGUAUCAAAUCCUCUGCCACCUUCAAGUAGCACCCGUGAGUUAUCCAUUUCAAGAGUUUCGACCCUUCCAACAAUGGAGGCAUCAUCCAAUGCAGAACUGAUAAUUGGGAUGGCUAAAGUUCCAAUGCCUUACCCUUGCAGUGAUGAGGAUUCCAAUGAGCUGACGAAACUGGAUGACAAAAUCUUGUCAUUCCAUAAUCUGAGGGGCCUAACUCGCUUGAAAAUACGAGGCUGCCAGAAUCUAUCGUGUAUUUCACUCCGAGGUUUAAGGCAGCUCAUCAACUUGAAGAGUUUGGAAAUAAAUUUCUGCAAAGGUCUUUUUGCUUCAGAUGUUCUGCCAGAGCAUGCCGGUGAGGACAUGGCAGACGCAGGUUCCAUUGCCCUCCCAUCUCUCGAGCAUCUCGAGAUUGGGUCAUGUGGAAUAACUGGGAAGUGGCUAUCUAUGAUGCUGCAACAUGCAACGGCCCUAGAGAAAUUGUAUCUGAGACAUUGCGACCGGAUAUCAGGACUGCUGAUUGAAGGGAAAGGGGGAAGUUUAUCAAAUCACACCUGUACUACACAGGCUUCACUAGCAGGAAAUCCAGAUGACACACUGACAAGCUCAACUCCAGAGGGACUCCUGCGCAUCCCAUCAAAUCUCGUCUCCUCUCUCAAGGAAAUAAUGAUUACAUGGUGCAAUGAUCUAACAUUUAACGGGAACAGGGAAGGCUUCUCUGGAUUCACCUCCCUCGAGAAGCUAAAAAUUUUCAAAUGCCCCAAGCUGAUCCCGUCUUUUAUGCAGAAAUAUGAAAACAACGACCAAGGAAACGGGAGAUGGCUUCUCCCGCAUUCACUCCGCAUACUUGAGAUCUCCCAUACCCCAGAAACGCUGCAGCCCUGCUUUCUCGAAGAUCGUAACUGCCUCAGAGAGCUAGACAUAUGUUCCAGCCAUAGUUUGAAAAUUUUACAGCUGUAUUCUUGCACAGCACUCGAAGAGUUGACGGUUGCAAAUUGUAUAGCCCUCAUCGCCCUAGAGGGGAACUUCACCUGCCUCCGGAAAUUACAACUGGAGGAAAACCCAAGGCUGAAAUCGCUACAGCUGCGUUCCUGCACAGCACUGGAGGAGUUGAAGAUUCUUACUUGUGAAUCCCUCGCCACACUGGCGGGGAAUCUCACCUGCCUCAAGAAAUUAGUGUUGCAGGACAGCUCAGUGUUGGAAUCACCACAGCUGUAUUCUUGCACAGCACUCGAAGAGUUGACGGUUCAACAUUGUAAGGCCUUCAUCGCCCUAGAGGGGAACUUCACCUGCCUCCGGAAAUUACAACUGGAGUGGAACCCAAGGCUGAAAUCGCUACAGCUGCGUUUCUGCACAGCAUUGGAACAAUUGGUGAUUUGCUGCUGUGAAUCGCUCGACACGCUGGAGGGCUUCCGAUCCCUCAGAGGUCUCAGGUACUUGAAAGUAUACAUGUGCCCUGGCUUACCUCAUAUGGAGAACCUGUUAAGUCAGGGUUAUGAGCGGUGCGCUGGACUCGAAAGACUUCGCACCGAUGAUUUCUCUUUCCUCACCACGUCAUUAUGCAAGUGCCUCACCUCCCUUCAACAUCUAGAGUUUGGAAUUCCAGGGGGAGUGAGGAGACUAACAGAUGAACAGGAGAGAGCGCUUCAGCUCCUCACGUCCCUGCAGGAGCUACGAUUUUGGUCUAGCUACAACCUCGCAGAUCUUCCCGAGGGUCUGCAAAACCUUCCCUCCCUCAAGAAGUUGGAGAUAAUUCAUUGCAACCGUAUCUCAAGGCUGCCAGAAAUGGGCCUCCCACCAUCGCUGGAAGAACUGGCGAUCUACUCUUGCAGCAAAGAGCUAACUGAUGCAUGCGGAACGCUAGCAACAGCAAGCAGCAAGCCAAAGGUCAAAAUUGACGGGAAAUAUGUAAACUGAUUGCUGGGCGGCUGUUAAGCAGACUUGUCUGCGAGCGCGGCGGUUUUCAACUUUUCAUUGUGCUAUACCUUCUAAGGGAUUCAAGGUGCUGUACGUUCAGCUGCUACAGACAACCGUUUUCCAGAUCAAUCUCAUACAACUACAUGCCAUUCAACAAAGUGUUCCUAUCUCUUGCGGAUCGCCCAAUACUCCCAUUGAAGCGCUCAUGUUUCCCAGACAAGGGGCCACACGACCAAGGCGUGCUUCUUUCUUCUUCUUUUGGGAAAUAGAUACAAGGGACCCGCAUCGAUCCAUGCAAAAAUGUCUGCAUGUACAACAAAGCACCCUCCAACUCUCAGCUUCUCUCUUGUAUUAAUUAACAAACUAGACCAAUACUAUGGGACUCUGCCAAUUCAUGCCUUGCCUUGCCAGAAAUCAGACUGGGCUGCUACCAGCCGGAUAAUCUGCAUAAAUUUGAACCUGUGUGUGUGAUAUGCUACCUUACUAGUAAUGAGUUCAUUUUAUUUUUAAUUGGGUCUAACGAAGGCAAAGUGGAAUACAUGUCCUUCAUAUAGUAAAUGUAUCUUCGCAUCAUAUUGCUCCUCUUCUGGAGCCGUUCUGCAA